RNAcentral lists this ribosomal RNA (395 nucleotides) under uncultured bacterium. Its description in RNAcentral is "bacterial SSU rRNA". It matches the Rfam family "Bacterial small subunit ribosomal RNA", at positions 29 to 429 of the family's 1533-position model. The record is from RNAcentral.
AUUAAACGCUGGCGGCAUGCCUUACACAUGCAAGUCGAACGGCAGCACGGGGGCAACCCUGGUGGCGAGUGGCGGACGGGUGAGUAAAGCAUCGGAACGUAUCCUGGAGUGGGGGAUAACGUAGCGAAAGUUACGCUAAUACCGCAUAUUCUGUGAGCAGGAAAGCAGGGGAUCACAAGACCUUGCGCUCUGGGAGCGGCCGAUGUCGGAUUAGCUAGUUGGUGGGGUAAAGGCCUACCAAGGCGACGAUCCGUAGCGGGUCUGAGAGGAUGAUCCGCCACACUGGGACUGAGACACGGCCCAGACUCCUACGGGAGGCAGCAGUGGGGAAUUUUGGACAAUGGGCGAAAGCCUGAUCCAGCCAUGCCGCGUGAGUGAAGAAGGCCUGGUGUAAG